This 532-nucleotide ribosomal RNA is filed under the name Cantharellus aff. subcyanoxanthus BB 98.014. Its description in RNAcentral is "partial 12S small subunit ribosomal RNA". It matches the Rfam family "Bacterial small subunit ribosomal RNA", at positions 351 to 952 of the family's 1533-position model. The record is from RNAcentral. Lineage: Eukaryota; Fungi; Basidiomycota; Agaricomycetes; Cantharellales; Hydnaceae.
GCAGUCCAAGAAUAUUAGUCAAUGCUCGCAAGAGUGAACGAGCUAACUGAAAGAAUAUACAAUCUAAGGUUAGUAAUCUUAUAAAUUUUAUUAUAAGUUUAAAGACGAAUCUAACUAACAGUGUCGUCCAAAUUCUGGUGCCAGAAGACUCGGUAAUACCAGAGACGCGAACGUUAAUCAUCUUGAAUGGGCAUAAAGGGUUUGUAGGCGGCUUAUUUAUUAAUAGGCUAGAAUCUUAUAGAGGUUAAUAAAAUACUUAGAGGAGGGCUGAUAUCCUUAGAUCCUAAGUGGAAUCCUAAUUGCGAAGGCCAUUUUCCACUACAGAUUGACGCUGAGACACGAAGGUUAGGAUAGGAACUAGGAUUAGAGACCCUAUUACCCCUAACUGUAAACGAUGAAUGGAAGAUAUUUACUACUGUAAGUGUCGAAGUGAAUACGAUAACCAUUCCGCCUUGCCAGUAUACUUGCAAAAGUGAAAACAAAAAAAUUAGUCGGUCCUAAAGCAAACGAAGUGAAGCAUGUUAUUUAAUUC